Molecule: ribosomal RNA, 322 nt
Filed under: Hemicloea semiplumosa
Lineage: Eukaryota; Metazoa; Arthropoda; Arachnida; Araneae; Gnaphosidae
Description: partial 12S ribosomal RNA
Source: RNAcentral
AGGAAGUAAUAAUAAAUAAAACCUACUUAUUUUGGCGGCAUUUCAUAUGGUCAGAGGAACCUGUUCUUUAAUUGAUAACCCACAAUAAAUUUCACUUUUUUUUAAAACUUAUAUAUCGCCAUCUAAAGAGUUAAUUAUAAUUUAUUAUUCAUAAUAAUAACUAAAAAGUUAGGUCAAGGUGUAAUCUAUAAAAAAGAUUGAAAUGGGUUACCUUAAAUUAAAUUUAAGGAUUAAUUAAUUAUAAUUAAUUAUGAAAAAGAAUUUGAUAGUAAUAAAUAUUAAAUAUAAUAAUUAUUAUAUAUGAAAUAUAUAAUAAAUGUGC